Molecule: ribosomal RNA, 372 nt
Filed under: uncultured eukaryote
Lineage: Eukaryota
Description: SSU rRNA
Rfam family: Eukaryotic small subunit ribosomal RNA
Source: RNAcentral
AGCUCUAAUAGCGUAUACUAAAGUUGUUGUGGUUAAAACGCUCGUAGUUCAAUUCUGAGGGGGUAUGAUGCUCUGUGUGCGCAAGCUCACGGGGAUAGUGCUCUUAAUAAUAAGUCGGUUUAACUGCUUGCUGAUCUUAACUGAUUGGCUUGUGGCGGCUGACCAUUUACUUUGAAUAAAACAGCGCGUUUAAUGCAAGCAAACGUCUGAAUGAAACAGCAUGGGAUAAUAGAACAGGGGGUGCGGAGUUACUAACCGCAUCUAAUGAUAAAUAGAGUUUGUCGGGGGUGUUCAUAUUGCGCGGCUAGAGGUGAAAUUCUUGGACCCGUGCAAGAUGUACUAAAGCGAAAGCAUUCAUCAAGGAUGCUCUCA